UGAGGCUGGAUGGCCUCAUAAGCAGCGCUGAGUCACGCCCUUCAGCCCCCUCUCCACAUUUGCACUAACUGUAAAGUGCCGUCAAUCGAAAAUGCUGAAUUUGAGCUUUGUCGUUGUGUGGAUUUGCUUCAGUGAGUUAUUUGAAUGAACAUUUCAAGAUAGAAAAACAAACAAACAAACUCUUCUUUAUAAAGGGGACAAAACCUUCCACUCUGAGCAGUGAUGAAAUGGUAUGCUCAAGAUAAAAGUAAAAUUGCAGAUCCGAGUGUCCACCAGCAAAAAUUCCCUUGGAAACAUCAGAUGAGCAGCAAAUCCUUCUCUUUAAUGGCUAUUCAUCGAGAUGCUUUUUCCAACUUAAAUUCUGUUGGAGAAGAAAAGUCAAAAGCAGGCAGCACAUCUCCCCAGGGACUUGUGGAUGGCAUGGUUACUGGAAUUAUUAGAGCCAAUCUCAGUUAUGGGGCUGUAAAUGGAUUGGGUGUGCACAUUCAACUUGCAGAGUACGAGGGAAGAAAAGAACACACUUCUCCAGUUUUACUGACUUCAAGGAGAGCUGUCCUCUUAAUUUACAGCUGUUCAUGUGCAAAGACAUCGAUCCUGACCCUCCCAGAGAUGCACCUGUCACAGGGAUGUCUGGCUGCUCAGCAGGUCUCCAGGACCUCCACCUAUUAAAACAUGGCAGAGUUCUAAGAAGAAACGCCCACCUCCCCUUCCCCAACCUCCACAUCUUCCUGUGUUGAUUUUGCCCCCUAACUGUCCCUGGUACCUCCUCAUCAUGGCUGUGCCCAUCCCUGAGGACACGAGCCUUCAUCUCUAGCCUGAGGCUGUUCUUUUCCUUCUCAGACCCCAAACUGAGCCCCAUCCUUGAUUUCCAAACGUUCCUCUCCUGUAAAGGCACAGUCCUGAACCAUUUUAGAAUUGGGGUGUUCUUUCUUCAGAGACCCACAUAUGAAACCGAUAAAUUAGGCUCUGAGUUC
Long non-coding RNA from Manis pentadactyla (Chinese pangolin), 974 nucleotides. RefSeq lists it as uncharacterized. The transcript is spliced from 4 exons. The record is from RefSeq and is a predicted model, not a curated record. NCBI's taxonomy places the organism in Eukaryota, Metazoa, Chordata, Mammalia, Pholidota, Manidae.